This 253-nucleotide ribosomal RNA is filed under the name uncultured bacterium. RNAcentral's name for it is "partial 16S ribosomal RNA". It matches the Rfam family "Bacterial small subunit ribosomal RNA", at positions 524 to 776 of the family's 1533-position model. The record is from RNAcentral.
UACGUAGGGUGCGAGCGUUAAUCGGAAUUACUGGGCGUAAAGCGCGCGCAGGCGGUUUCUCAAGUCAGUGGUGAAAGCCCGGAGCUCAACUCCGGAACUGCCAUUGAAACUGUGAAACUUGAGGAUGAGAGAGGUGAGUGGAAUUCCCAGUGUAGAGGUGAAAUUCGUAGAUAUUGGGAAGAACACCGGUGGCGAAGGCGGCUCACUGGCUCAUUUCUGACGCUCAGGCGCGACAGCGUGGGGAUCAAACAGG